Molecule: long non-coding RNA, 998 nt
Organism: Brassica napus (rape)
Lineage: Eukaryota; Viridiplantae; Streptophyta; Magnoliopsida; Brassicales; Brassicaceae
Exons: 2
Source: RefSeq, a predicted model, not a curated record
AAUUAUAAAUUACUAAAUCUAUUAAACAUUCCACAAUGAAAACUUUGCUAUUAGUGAUUUAAAGUUAUGUUAUAAAAAGAUACAAAUGAUCAAAAAACCAAUAUGAGUGAAAAAAUUAUUUAAUAGAUAUCAAUAUUAAAAAUAUACUAUAUAUCUAUGUUAAUAUCAUUUAAAUUUAGUUAUAUAUCAUAUAAAAUAGAAAAAAGUGUGUGUUUGGAUUAACAAAAAAAUUUAUGUAUUCAUGCCAAUUUAAUUAUAUAUAUAAUCGUUACUGAAUUACUAAUUAUUCAAUAUAUAUUUAUUAUUUCAUAAUAUGUAUUUAAUACGUGAAAAUAAGCUAUUAACACAAAAAGACACAUUUUGUGUAUUUAUUACACUGAAAAGCACAAUGUACUACUAAGGUGCUUUCCAAUGGUUGAAGACUUGUUUGCCCUCUAAAAGUUAAACUAAGGAUGGGUAUCUAGGUAAUUAGCCAUUUUCUUUCUAGUUGGGCUGGUUAGAAGAUUUAAAUUUUGAAAAUUGUUUAGUUUGAAGUUGUGGACACGAAAAUGAAGCUAUAAUUUGGGUUUUUUAUUUACCUGAGGCACGUUAAAAAAUAUAUGGGUUGGUAAUUUUUUUUCCAUCGGUUUCGGUACAACACAGAGAGGUUCCGUUGGAGAGAGCGACGAACGAGAUUUCUUGCGGAGAAUGUUUUAACGACCGGAGGUUGACGGAGAAGAAGAUGUCACCGCGAAAGAAGCGAACUGUUAAGGGAAAAAAUAAAGAGAUGACGCAAACAGAGGAGGGAGCCAUCAAGUCGAGUUUAAAUCAGAAACUCUGUUUUUUCAAGAGAAACAGAGCACCUUCGCAAUCACUCCACAUGUUCAUAAAUAACCAGAAAUUUAUCAGUUGGUAAUACAUAGCCAAAACGUAAUCUACGUGUACACAUUUUUUCAAAGUCUACAUGUACAAGAAUCGCAAAGCUUCAUAAUAGUAUCCACAUGUACACUUUUUCUUAA